Molecule: ribosomal RNA, 1687 nt
Filed under: Escherichia coli
Lineage: Bacteria; Pseudomonadati; Pseudomonadota; Gammaproteobacteria; Enterobacterales; Enterobacteriaceae
Description: partial 23S ribosomal RNA
Rfam family: Bacterial large subunit ribosomal RNA
Source: RNAcentral
GAGGUAUCAGAAGUGCGAAUGCUGACAUAAGUAACGAUAAAGCGGGUGAAAAGCCCGCUCGCCGGAAGACCAAGGGUUCCUGUCCAACGUUAAUCGGGGCAGGGUGAGUCGACCCCUAAGGCGAGGCCGAAAGGCGUAGUCGAUGGGAAACAGGUUAAUAUUCCUGUACUUGGUGUUACUGCGAAGGGGGGACGGAGAAGGCUAUGUUGGCCGGGCGACGGUUGUCCCGGUUUAAGCGUGUAGGCUGGUUUUCCAGGCAAAUCCGGAAAAUCAAGGCUGAGGCGUGAUGACGAGGCACUACGGUGCUGAAGCAACAAAUGCCCUGCUUCCAGGAAAAGCCUCUAAGCAUCAGGUAACAUCAAAUCGUACCCCAAACCGACACAGGUGGUCAGGUAGAGAAUACCAAGGCGCUUGAGAGAACUCGGGUGAAGGAACUAGGCAAAAUGGUGCCGUAACUUCGGGAGAAGGCACGCUGAUAUGUAGGUGAAGUCCCUCGCGGAUGGAGCUGAAAUCAGUCGAAGAUACCAGCUGGCUGCAACUGUUUAUUAAAAACACAGCACUGUGCAAACACGAAAGUGGACGUAUACGGUGUGACGCCUGCCCGGUGCCGGAAGGUUAAUUGAUGGGGUCAGCGCAAGCGAAGCUCUUGAUCGAAGCCCCGGUAAACGGCGGCCGUAACUAUAACGGUCCUAAGGUAGCGAAAUUCCUUGUCGGGUAAGUUCCGACCUGCACGAAUGGCGUAAUGAUGGCCAGGCUGUCUCCACCCGAGACUCAGUGAAAUUGAACUCGCUGUGAAGAUGCAGUGUACCCGCGGCAAGACGGAAAGACCCCGUGAACCUUUACUAUAGCUUGACACUGAACAUUGAGCCUUGAUGUGUAGGAUAGGUGGGAGGCUUUGAAGUGUGGACGCCAGUCUGCAUGGAGCCGACCUUGAAAUACCACCCUUUAAUGUUUGAUGUUCUAACGUGGACCCGUGAUCCGGGUUGCGGACAGUGUCUGGUGGGUAGUUUGACUGGGGCGGUCUCCUCCUAAAGAGUAACGGAGGAGCACGAAGGUUGGCUAAUCCUGGUCGGACAUCAGGAGGUUAGUGCAAUGGCAUAAGCCAGCUUGACUGCGAGCGUGACGGCGCGAGCAGGUGCGAAAGCAGGUCAUAGUGAUCCGGUGGUUCUGAAUGGAAGGGCCAUCGCUCAACGGAUAAAAGGUACUCCGGGGAUAACAGGCUGAUACCGCCCAAGAGUUCAUAUCGACGGCGGUGUUUGGCACCUCGAUGUCGGCUCAUCACAUCCUGGGGCUGAAGUAGGUCCCAAGGGUAUGGCUGUUCGCCAUUUAAAGUGGUACGCGAGCUGGGUUUAGAACGUCGUGAGACAGUUCGGUCCCUAUCUGCCGUGGGCGCUGGAGAACUGAGGGGGGCUGCUCCUAGUACGAGAGGACCGGAGUGGACGCAUCACUGGUGUUCGGGUUGUCAUGCCAAUGGCACUGCCCGGUAGCUAAAUGCGGAAGAGAUAAGUGCUGAAAGCAUCUAAGCACGAAACUUGCCCCGAGAUGAGUUCUCCCUGACCCUUUAAGGGUCCUGAAGGAACGUUGAAGACGACGACGUUGAUAGGCCGGGUGUGUAAGCGCAGCGAUGCGUUGAGCUAACCGGUACUAAUGAACCGUGAGGCUUAACCUUACAACGCCGAAGGUGUUU